AGCCGGGGAGAUAGCGGUGCCCUGUACCUGCAAUCCGCUACAGCAGGGGUGAUGGUCUGCCCCGGAGCGUUUUCAGUUGAGCUGCCCUCUUACAGAGGCGUUGAGGCUUGGGUCUUACGCGACAGGAAUCUGUGAACCGUGUCAGGUCGGGAACGGAGCAGCACUAAGCAGAAGCUCUUGUGCGCCGUAAGGGUGCCUGGGCUGAGUCGGCUGGGGAGGUA
Molecule: signal recognition particle RNA, 221 nt
Filed under: uncultured Eubacterium sp.
Lineage: Bacteria; Bacillati; Bacillota; Clostridia; Eubacteriales; Eubacteriaceae
Description: Bacterial large signal recognition particle RNA
Rfam family: Bacterial large signal recognition particle RNA
About the family: The signal recognition particle (SRP) is a universally conserved ribonucleoprotein involved in the co-translational targeting of proteins to membranes. Archaeal SRP consists of a 7S RNA and homologues of the eukaryotic SRP19 and SRP54 proteins.
Source: RNAcentral